GGGUUGGUGGUGUAGUGGUAACAUACGCUGCGGCUACUGUCGCUCCCGCAGCAAGUCCUAGGUUCAAUUCCUGGCCAACCUG
Phyllosticta paracitricarpa is the source of this 82-nucleotide non-coding RNA. The record is from the annotation of a GenBank genome assembly. NCBI's taxonomy places the organism in Eukaryota, Fungi, Ascomycota, Dothideomycetes, Botryosphaeriales, Phyllostictaceae.